GCCAUAAAGUCCUGUAGAGGAAUAUGGGUAGAAAAAAAAGAGAAGGAGAGGUUCUCUGCCCUCUGUAAAUAUUAAGGAAGAGCUGACAUCUGGCAGGGCUGCCUUGCUUGCUCUGUGACCCUGGGAAAGUCACUGCUCUGAUACCAGCUGUAAGUGAAAAGCACAUAAUUAAUGUGUAAAUUAGUAAGUUAGUGGCUUGAAAAUGCUUGAAAGCAAACCUUCAUGGUAACACAACGCACUCUGCAUAGAUGUAGAGAAAAAGCAGCCUCUGAGAUGAUGUGGAACCCCGACACCGUAACAAGCCUUUAAUCUUGGGCUUUUUCAUUAGUACUGCUCUAUAAACAGUCCAGACUGCCAGCUCAGAAACAAGUAAUAAUCUGAAAGCAUAUGAUAUUUUUCAUAUCCAUCCUCUCCUUCCUUCUUUUGGGUUUUGCCCACUCCCCAGGCAGAAGGGCUCCUCUUCUCCAAGCAGGCGGGUUCAGAGCCCCCUCUGCUGGAGCGCUGGCAGCAGCAGGACGGGCUGAGCAGGGGGACACGACAGCUACAACUGCUCUUCAGGGCAUGGAGAAGGUGCUCCAGACGUUCUUCUAAGGAGUCUCACGUGGCUGAUGUAUUCCGCUGCAGGUUUUGAAAGCUGAGAACACAACAAGAAGGCGUUAGCGGACUCGGAACUGCCUGGGAUCAGCGAGGUUACUCUUCUCUCAGAUCUGCAGAAGAGCGUGCAGAACGCUUCCAUGCAGCCUUUGAAGAUGUAGAGGAUUUCUCCUCCUUCCUUUCCCCUCUCAAUUUUUAUUUCUUCUCCCUGCUCCCGCUCAGUGUCUCUGGCUGUGGAGUCUGAGAAGUAGAAUAAGGAAGUUCUGGCAUGGGACAAGGCUCAGCCUGGAGACUGCUUAGCUCCCCAGGAAGGAUAUGUCUACCUAAACACGAAGGGAAACAGGAAGGAAAGAUGAAAUAGUACAUCUGUUAACAGGAGAAGAGGCACUUUGAGUCAGACAGGGAGAAGUUUCAGUGAAAUCCAGAUGUCCAGGCAUGCUGGAGAUGGAAAGAGCGAGUUUUACGAGGGUCUCCCACCAUCUGCUAGGAACUCCUGGCUCGCUGUCACAAGCUGCAACUGCCUCAUCUGAUGUCUUUUGGACUUAAGUAAACCAACUUUCUACAUGAAGGACGUGCAGUCGGUCUCAUUUAACAAGAUUUCAACUGAGAAUGUUAUGUCCAAACAUGUAAGAACUGGAAGAUAGACAAAAAUACUAAAUGGUUAAGUGACGAUGGAGUGUUUCCACAUCAAGGCUGGUGCAGUGGGGAAUUAAUAGUGAAUUUCUCCAGUUCUGGUCCCAAGAGUAAUCUCACUAAAGCCUUUUUCUAACGACCUUGGCACAAAAAGCAAGCAUGAUAAUUAAAUUUGGUGAUGAACAAAAAAAAGGGGGAGGCUUCAAUAAUACGAGGAAACUAAAAUGUCUUAGAGAAUCGAUGACUUUGAAGAGUGAGAAAUAGAGAUAAGAUGCAAUGUAGCAGCAGAAAGUGUGAGGCUGUGAAUUCAGGGUCGAGAAGAAAUUUGUGAA
Long non-coding RNA from Cuculus canorus (common cuckoo), 1559 nucleotides. RefSeq lists it as uncharacterized. The record is from RefSeq and is a predicted model, not a curated record. NCBI's taxonomy places the organism in Eukaryota, Metazoa, Chordata, Aves, Cuculiformes, Cuculidae. The transcript is spliced from 3 exons.